RNAcentral lists this transfer RNA (85 nucleotides) under Felis catus (domestic cat). It matches the Rfam family "tRNA". Rfam says of the family: Transfer RNA (tRNA) molecules are approximately 80 nucleotides in length. Their secondary structure includes four short double-helical elements and three loops (D, anti-codon, and T loops). Further hydrogen bonds mediate the characteristic L-shaped molecular structure. tRNAs have two regions of fundamental functional importance: the anti-codon, which is responsible for specific mRNA codon recognition, and the 3' end, to which the tRNAs corresponding amino acid is attached (by aminoacyl-tRNA synthetases). tRNAs cope with the degeneracy of the genetic code in two manners: having more than one tRNA (with a specific anti-codon) for a particular amino acid; and 'wobble' base-pairing, i.e. permitting non-standard base-pairing at the 3rd anti-codon position. The record is from Rfam by way of RNAcentral. Lineage: Eukaryota; Metazoa; Chordata; Mammalia; Carnivora; Felidae.
GUCUGGGUGGCUCAGUCGGUUGAGCGUCUGACUUCGGCUCAGGUCAUGAUCUCACGGCUCGUGGGUUCAAUCCCCGUGUCGGGCU